UACGGAGGGUGCGAGCGUUUAUCGGACUUACUGGGCGUAAAGCGUGCGUAGGCGGAUGCUUGAGUCGGAUGUGAAAGCCCUGGGCUCAACCUGGGAAUGGCAUUCGAUACUGGGCAUCUAGAGUGUGGUAGAGGGGGGUAGAAUUCCUGGUGUAGCGGUGAAAUGCGUAGAUAGCAGGAGGAAUUUCGAUGGAGAAGGCGACCACCGAGAUCAACACUGACGCUGAGGUACGAAAGCGUGGGUAGCAAACAGG
This 253-nucleotide ribosomal RNA is filed under the name uncultured bacterium. Its description in RNAcentral is "partial 16S ribosomal RNA". It matches the Rfam family "Bacterial small subunit ribosomal RNA", at positions 524 to 776 of the family's 1533-position model. The record is from RNAcentral.